This 461-nucleotide long non-coding RNA is filed under the name Ananas comosus (pineapple). RNAcentral describes it as "long non-coding RNA (ACOM_LNC042006)". Lineage: Eukaryota; Viridiplantae; Streptophyta; Magnoliopsida; Poales; Bromeliaceae. The record is from RNAcentral.
UAUAGUGGGCUGGGUCGUUACAUUUGGUAUCAGAGCCGGUUCACCAGCUGGACAUGUGUGGCGAGUCUCGGCUGAGCCAGGGUCUGGAUGACGGGCUAGCGAGACGAGUCUCACAUAGCCUGGUGAUCUUGGGCUGUGUGUGUGAGGACUGACGAGGACGUCAGGGCCUUAACGGGGGGAGUCUGUGACACCCCAAUAGUCCCACCCAUGUUUAACCCGAGUUAAGCUAACAAAGGAUAACUGCAGGGGUAUUUUAGAAUAACGGUGGAACAUAUGAGGGGCAUUUUAGAAAGGAAAAAAAAGCAGGGGUAGAUCGGAUAUAUCUGAGCGUAUGAGGGGUAUAUAGGCAAUUAUCCCUAAAAAUUUAAAUUAAAAUUUUAAGAAUGACGUAUUGAAAAGGUUUGGGGUUCGAAAGGAUCGAUAAACUUGUAAUUUUAUAUACAUAUAAGAUAACCUGUCAU